Molecule: ribosomal RNA, 918 nt
Filed under: uncultured Planctomycetota bacterium
Lineage: Bacteria; Pseudomonadati; Planctomycetota
Description: bacterial SSU rRNA
Rfam family: Bacterial small subunit ribosomal RNA
Source: RNAcentral
AACGAACGCUGGCGGCGUGGCUAAGACAUGCAAGUCGAACGAACUAUCCAAUUGGGUAACUGACUGGAUAGUUAGUGGCGAAAGGGUGAGUAAUGGAUAGGUAACGUACCCUGUGCUCCCGGAUAGCGUCAUUCGCCUUCGGGCGAAUUUCCGAAAGGGGCGGUAAUACAGGAAAUGUCAUCCGUCGACAGACGAAUGACCAAAGAUUAUUUCGGCACUGGAGCGGCCUAUCUCCUAUCAGCUUGUUGGUGAGGUAAUGGCUCACCAAGGCAGCGACGGGUAGCGGGGCUGAGAGGUCGGCCCGCCACAUCGGGACUGAGACACUGCCCGGACCUCCACGGAGGGCUGCAGUAACGAAUAUUGGGCAAUGGGCGAAAGCCUGACCCAGCGACGCCGCGUGCGGGAUGAAGUCUUUCGGGAUGUAAACCGCUGUCAGGGGUAAGAAAGUCCGCCUCGGCGGAUUGAUCUAACCCAAAGGAAGUCACGGCUAACUUCGUGCCAGCAGCCGCGGUAAGACGAAGGUGGCAAGCGUUGUUCGGAAUCACUGGGCUUAAAGAGCGCGUAGGCGGAACAAUAAGCGUCCUGUGAAAUCCCCCGGCUUAACCGGGGAACGGCUGGGCGAACUGCUGUUCUUGAGGCAAGCAGGGGUGCGUGGAACUCUUGGUGGAGCGGUGAAAUGCGUAGAUAUCAAGAGGAACGCCGGUGGAGAAAUCGGCGCACUGGGCUUGCUCCGGCAGAAACGCUUCGGCGUUUUUGGCCCUCUGACGCUGAGGCGCGAAAGCGUGGGGAGCGAACGGGAUUAGAUACCCCGGUAGUCCACGCCGUAAACGAUGCCUACUAGGUUGCGGGAGCUUCUGACGUUCUCGCGGCCGAAGCAAAAGCGUUAAGUAGGCCGCCUGGGGAGACGGUCGCAAGGCU